Molecule: transfer RNA, 73 nt
Filed under: Roseibacillus sp.
Lineage: Bacteria; Pseudomonadati; Verrucomicrobiota; Verrucomicrobiia; Verrucomicrobiales; Verrucomicrobiaceae
Also listed under: 1 other name
Description: tRNA-His
Rfam family: tRNA
About the family: Transfer RNA (tRNA) molecules are approximately 80 nucleotides in length. Their secondary structure includes four short double-helical elements and three loops (D, anti-codon, and T loops).
Source: RNAcentral
GUGGCCGUAGCUCAGUUGGUAGAGCCCCUGAUUGUGGUUUAGGUUGUCGCGGGUUCGAGUCCCGUCGGUCGCC